GACGAACGCUGGCGGCGUGCCUAACACAUGCAAGUCGAGCGAAUGAAGUUCCUUCGGGAACGGAUUUAGCGGCGGACGGGUGAGUAACACGUGGGCAACCUGCCUCAUAGAGGGGAAUAGCCUUCCGAAAGGGAGAUUAAUACCGCAUAAGAUUGUAGUACCGCAUGGUACAGCAAUUAAAGGAGCAAUCCGCUAUGAGAUGGGCCCGCGGCGCAUUAGCUAGUUGGUGAGGUAACGGCUCACCAAGGCGACGAUGCGUAGCCGACCUGAGAGGGUGAUCGGCCACAGUGGGACUGAGACACGGCCCAGACUCCUACGGGAGGCAGCAGUGGGGAAUAUUGCACAAUGGGGGAAACCCUGAUGCAGCAACGCCGCGUGAGUGAUGACGGCCUUCGGGUUGUAAAGCUCUGUCUUCAGGGACGAUAAUGACGGUACCUGAGGAGGAAGCCACGGCUAACUACGUG
RNAcentral lists this ribosomal RNA (464 nucleotides) under uncultured bacterium. Its description in RNAcentral is "partial 16S ribosomal RNA". It matches the Rfam family "Bacterial small subunit ribosomal RNA", at positions 28 to 507 of the family's 1533-position model. The record is from RNAcentral.